Molecule: transfer RNA, 72 nt
Filed under: Ictidomys tridecemlineatus (thirteen-lined ground squirrel)
Lineage: Eukaryota; Metazoa; Chordata; Mammalia; Rodentia; Sciuridae
Description: Spermophilus tridecemlineatus (thirteen-lined ground squirrel) tRNA
Rfam family: tRNA
About the family: Transfer RNA (tRNA) molecules are approximately 80 nucleotides in length. Their secondary structure includes four short double-helical elements and three loops (D, anti-codon, and T loops). Further hydrogen bonds mediate the characteristic L-shaped molecular structure. tRNAs have two regions of fundamental functional importance: the anti-codon, which is responsible for specific mRNA codon recognition, and the 3' end, to which the tRNAs corresponding amino acid is attached (by aminoacyl-tRNA synthetases). tRNAs cope with the degeneracy of the genetic code in two manners: having more than one tRNA (with a specific anti-codon) for a particular amino acid; and 'wobble' base-pairing, i.e. permitting non-standard base-pairing at the 3rd anti-codon position.
Source: Rfam by way of RNAcentral
GGGAAUAAAGCUCAGUGGUAGAGCACUUGCCUAGUACACAUGAGGGCCUGGGUUCAAUUCUUAGCACUGUUA